AUUUGUAGUAAUUAACUACUAAGACCUGAAGUGAAUUACAUGAGACAAAUCCAUCCCCAAUAAUAACCCCUUGGUCAUCUUCCUUCCUGAGCAACACCUGCUCCUUCAUGGUCCUCGGAUAUCUCGACGGAACAACCUUGCUCUUAGUCUUAGGAUCCAAAUAAGAACAGCACCUACCCACCACCCUGUCAUACAGUGAUAUCUCCUCCAGAUUAACCGCGGAUUCCAUCACGCGCCUGAUGAAUCCCACGAAGUGUUCAUCGGGUUGGAAGCCGACGAUGGUGAGCUUGGCCAGAUUACGGUGCUCGAGGUUAGCCACCGAUGGCUGCCAUUCGACGUUCGAUUUGUCGCAGUAGCCGUUCUCCUGCCGUGUCGUCUCGUCCCUCUCCAUCUUGCAGCAGUGAUCCCACACUCUGAUGGAGAGACUCUCCAGCCUCGGUGCGGCUUCCACGAUGAACAUUGUCCAAGCGAUGUCGCAGCCUUCAGGGAGGUCGACGAGAGUGACAUGUCGUAGCUCGCCCAGCACUGGGGCUAGCCUCUUCCAGCCUUCUGGCUCAACCCAAAUCUGCAAAUCAACAGGUUGUUCACAACGAGUACUGAGGGGGCAUUAGCAAGGAAGUGACUUAAUCGGAUACUGUUCUUCCAGCUCAUGCCGGUGUCGACGAGGCUCAAGCUUUGGAGCAAUGGAGUGUAACCAAAAAACAGUGGAUCCCGAUAAGAGAUCCAGCCCUGACAUUUCAUCGUCUGGAGCUUGGGUACAUGGACGAGCUCGAUCGUCUCGAAAUUGCCGUGUGAUAUCUCAAGCUCAACGAGAUGAUUGUGCUCUACCUGCAGCACGCUGCGUCUCACCGAUUUGCAGUUGAACAGCCGAAGAAACCGCAGGUUUUUGCAGGUGAGGAGGAUGCCGGCGAUGUCUGAAUCGCCGAACCAGAGGCGGGUGAGGCCGGCGAAGACGGCCGGGUAGGCGGUGAACAAGGUGUGGAACUGGCCGGCGAAGUAGACGAGGUCGUCCGCAGCGCUUCUCCGUCAGGAUCGAGAACUCGACGGCGGCGCCGGCGGCGAGCUUCCGGGCGGCCAUGGCGCGGGCCACCGUGCCGGCGAUGGAGAUGCAGUCGUAGUACCUGAGGUAGAAGCGGAGGGCGAGGUGGUGGACGGGGAUCUCCGGCCGCCGGAAUUCGAGGACGGCGGCCGUCAGGUCGGCCACGGCGCCGUUCGUCCGGACCACCUCGCGCAGGGUGAGGCGGCGGUGGUUUGGCCGCGAGAAGGCGGCGACGUCGACGGCGAUCCGGGACAGCAUGUCGGGGAGGGUGGCCCUCAUGUUCUUGGAGAGGAUGCAGGUUUUCAUGGCGUCAGAGGUGUCCAGCCUCUCCAAGAUGUUGAGCACGACAUCAUCCGGCAAAUCGUUCAGCCUGUCC
Molecule: small RNA, 1415 nt
Filed under: Oryza sativa Japonica Group (Japanese rice)
Lineage: Eukaryota; Viridiplantae; Streptophyta; Magnoliopsida; Poales; Poaceae
Description: sRNA Os02g0826533
Source: RNAcentral